UUGGUUCGUCCUAUUGGAUCAAGUCACGUGGGACUCCAAUUCGUGGUAUACGUCGACAGUUGUAUUGAUUUCAUCAUGACAUUGGAUAUUGGGGUUACUAGGGGCUAUCUCGGUCUUUGAUUUAUUCGAUUCAUGGCACAAAUGUCCAUUCAAGUUAAAGAAACCAGAUUCAAGAUUGCUUCAAAUUUACUCAAGUACAAAACGUGGUUCAAACAACUGUUUUAGUACAAAAUGUUCAAUAGACCAAAAUCAAC
RNAcentral lists this long non-coding RNA (254 nucleotides) under Lathyrus oleraceus (garden pea). Its description in RNAcentral is "Pisum sativum (pea) long non-coding RNA (PSAT_LNC018961)". Lineage: Eukaryota; Viridiplantae; Streptophyta; Magnoliopsida; Fabales; Fabaceae. The record is from RNAcentral.